GGACGGGUCGCGGCGGGCGGCAUGGCUGCGAGGUGGGCAGGGGCUACUGACAGCAGCCCCGCGAACGCAGCUGAAACGGAGCCUUUAAGAAGAAGAAACAAACCAUCCUUUUAGAUCAUCAAUUCAAAAUUAUCUCUUCAUAAAAUAUUUGAGAUGGAUGUUGCUCUCCGAUUUGCAAAGCAGCUGUGGAGAUGCCAGCUUGAGUGUGUUCACUAGACAGAUCUUCAGGAGACUUUGGAAAUAAACACUACAUAAAUAUUCAGAAACUAUUUUAUGCUUGAGAAUCACGUAAUAUAAGGAGGGCCUGGUUCGGAAUGUGAAGGUUGGAGGCAACCUU
Long non-coding RNA from Colius striatus (speckled mousebird), 337 nucleotides. RefSeq lists it as uncharacterized. The transcript is spliced from 3 exons. The record is from RefSeq and is a predicted model, not a curated record. Lineage: Eukaryota; Metazoa; Chordata; Aves; Coliiformes; Coliidae.